GGUUUCGGCCGGGAUUUUAUCCAGGCCGAAACCCGGAUUGCAAAACCCGGACCUAUGUGGUUUGGGUACGGAUUUAAAAUCCGGAUACCAGAUUAAACACCCGGUACCCAGUUUAAUUUUUUUUCCCCCAGCUAAAUAUCCCCCCCCUCUCUCUCUCUCUCUCGUUCAUCUAACAUUUUGAAACCCUAGCCGCCGCUUUACUCAUUCUCUCUCGCUCUCAUCAGUCGUGGGGACCUUCUCCAAUCGAAAGGUCAUCCCUCUCUCCAUCUUCUAGUAUUCUGUCGGCAGCAUACUCGAUGGAGGCCGGCCUCAUCAUCAGUCCCUCUCUCGCUCUCAUCAGUCAUGGGGAUCGACCUACCUGUUGUUGCCAAUGACACAGCUGGGCAGAAUACUCGAUGGAAGGUUACCCACAAGAUUUGCAGUGGGUCCCAAAGCAGUGGAUGCCGGUGGCUAUCGGGGAGAUCUAGCAGAUUGCUCUAUCUGGGUUUUCUUCAUCCGUGGGUAUGUUUUUUUUUUUUCUCUAUUUUUCUGUUCUCUCUUUGGUGAUUUUGAGUUUUUUUUUAAAGAGGAUGUUUGAAUGUGUGAGAAGUAUUCAGUUGUGAUGGGUUUUAGAGCUUCAGCUUGUCAAGUACUGGUUUACUGGUUUUUGUCUGCCAGGCUUAUUUUUAUUGAUUGAUGCAUUGAUAGCAUUUUGCAAA
Molecule: long non-coding RNA, 698 nt
Organism: Carya illinoinensis
Lineage: Eukaryota; Viridiplantae; Streptophyta; Magnoliopsida; Fagales; Juglandaceae
Exons: 2
Source: RefSeq, a predicted model, not a curated record